This 458-nucleotide unclassified non-coding RNA is filed under the name Hevea brasiliensis (rubber tree). The record is from RNAcentral. Lineage: Eukaryota; Viridiplantae; Streptophyta; Magnoliopsida; Malpighiales; Euphorbiaceae.
AUUCAAUCAUGCAACACAUAAAGCUAUAUUUACAACAGCCCAUCCAUGGAAGUGAACAAUACCUAUUGUACAAGUUAAAGGGUUCUAUCACAACAAACUCGAUAAUGUCCAUUUUGGCAAAAAAACAAUUCAAGUUCCUGAUGCUAAUAAGAGAUUUAUAUUGGAAGACCUUAAACACCAUUGGUCCAAUUCUUACCCACAAUUUUGAAAAUUUCCCACCUCUAGCUUUUCACAAAGCAUGAGAAAUCUAAAUUUACAAUGGUUGAACAUCAUAAACAAAAUCCAAACAUCAUGUUGAUUUUAGUGUUUUUUUUCUGUCAGUUUUGUCCAAUUACUUGUACUAUUAAUAGAAAAUUUUAAAGUUUUAUGCUCCGCUUGCUUCAUAGAAAAUGUUUUCCUAAAAAAUAUCUUUUGCAUAUUCUGGUGUUUGGGCACUCAAAAAAUUUGAUCAACGAAAA